UACGAAGGGGGCUAGCGUUGCUCGGAAUCACUGGGCGUAAAGGGUGCGUAGGCGGGUCUUUAAGUCAGGGGUGAAAUCCUGGAGCUCAACUCCAGAACUGCCUUUGAUACUGAGGAUCUUGAGUUCGGGAGAGGUGAGUGGAACUGCGAGUGUAGAGGUGAAAUUCGUAGAUAUUCGCAAGAACACCAGUGGCGAAGGCGGCUCACUGGCCCGAUACUGACGCUGAGGCACGAAAGCGUGGGGAGCGAACCGG
This 253-nucleotide ribosomal RNA is filed under the name uncultured bacterium. RNAcentral's name for it is "partial 16S ribosomal RNA". It matches the Rfam family "Bacterial small subunit ribosomal RNA", at positions 524 to 776 of the family's 1533-position model. The record is from RNAcentral.